This is a long non-coding RNA of Mauremys reevesii (Reeves's turtle), 590 nucleotides long. RefSeq lists it as uncharacterized. NCBI's taxonomy places the organism in Eukaryota, Metazoa, Chordata, Testudines, Geoemydidae. The transcript is spliced from 3 exons. The record is from RefSeq and is a predicted model, not a curated record.
UAAAGUAAAGGUUUAAAACGCCUGUUAAACUGAAAACAUCUGACAACUCCGUAACCAUAGAGCCACGUUUCUCUCCUGUCCUGCUGACCAGAUCCUGGGGAGUUUCAUUGUAUGUAAGCCCAGCCAUUGGCUCUUUGAACUCACUCCUCACAAGAGAACAGCAGCUGUUUAAUUCCAUCAGGCCACCUGUCCGUCGGACAAACCCACAGACUCCAGUUCCAGCUGAGUGUGUCCGUAAAUCACCUGCCUACAACAGCUGCUGGAGUUUGUCCAGGAAUGGUCCCAAACACCACAACUGACAACAGCUACGCUCCAUUGUCUGAGGCAAUCACCGGAGAGUGCUGUAAUGUUUUUAGUAACAGCUGAUUCUGUGGAACUGACUGACCCUGAAAUGAUCCAUCGCUAUCCACACACCGCCAGAUCUUGGACUGAUCAGAGCUCACCUGAGCUUUCAAGCCAGGCUCCCACGUAGUGACACAUCUCACCAGCAUCACAGCAGCGAGCAGAAACAAAAUGAGAAGCAGCAGGACACAUGGUAGCAGGAUGCGGAGGAGGAUGUUUGACUGUGGGGCCCUGCUGGAAAAAGAGAG